GACGAACGCUGGCGGCGUGCCUAAUACAUGCAAGUAGAACGCUGAAGGAGGAGCUUGCUUCUCUGGAUGAGUUGCGAACGGGUGAGUAACGCGUAGGUAACCUGCCUGUUAGCGGGGGAUAACUAUUGGAAACGAUAGCUAAUACCGCAUAAUAUUGACUAUUGCAUGAUAGUCAGUUGAAAGGUGCAACUGCACCACUACCAGAUGGACCUGCGUUGUAUUAGCUAGUUGGUGGGGUAACGGCUCACCAAGGCGACGAUACAUAGCCGACCUGAGAGGGGGAUCGGCCACACUGGGACUGAGACACGGCCCAGGCUCCUACGGGAGGCAGCAGGAGGGAAUCUUCGGGAAUGGGCGGAAGUCUGACCGAGCAACGCCGCGUGAGUGAAGAAGGUUUUCGGAUCGUAAAGCUCUGUUGUAAGAGAAGAACGAGUGUGAGAGUGGAAAGCUCACACUGUGACGGUAUCUUACCAGAAAGGGACGGCUAACUACGUG
This 495-nucleotide ribosomal RNA is filed under the name uncultured bacterium. Its description in RNAcentral is "partial 16S ribosomal RNA". It matches the Rfam family "Bacterial small subunit ribosomal RNA", at positions 28 to 507 of the family's 1533-position model. The record is from RNAcentral.